UGGGGAAUAUUGGACAAUGGGCGAAAGCCUGAUCCAGCCAUGCCGCGUGUGUGAAGAAGGUCUUCGGAUUGUAAAGCACUUUAAGUUGGGAGGAAGGGCAGUAAGCGAAUACCUUGCUGUUUUGACGUUACCGACAGAAUAAGCACCGGCUAACUCUGUGCCAGCAGCCGCGGUAAUACAGAGGGUGCAAGCGUUAAUCGGAAUUACUGGGCGUAAAGCGCGCGUAGGUGGUUCGUUAAGUUGAAUGUGAAAGCCCCGGGCUCAACCUGGGAACUGCAUCCAAAACUGGCGAGCUAGAGUAGAGCAGAGGGUGGUGGAAUUUCCUGUGUAGCGGUGAAAUGCGUAGAUAUAGGAAGGAACGCCAGUGGCGAAGGCGACCACCUGGGCUCAUACUGACACUGAGGUGCGAAAGCGUGGGGAGCAAACAGG
This 429-nucleotide ribosomal RNA is filed under the name Pseudomonadota bacterium. RNAcentral's name for it is "Proteobacteria bacterium partial 16S ribosomal RNA". It matches the Rfam family "Bacterial small subunit ribosomal RNA", at positions 355 to 776 of the family's 1533-position model. The record is from RNAcentral. Lineage: Bacteria; Pseudomonadati; Pseudomonadota.